This 694-nucleotide long non-coding RNA is filed under the name Lathyrus oleraceus (garden pea). Its description in RNAcentral is "Pisum sativum (pea) long non-coding RNA (PSAT_LNC033564)". Lineage: Eukaryota; Viridiplantae; Streptophyta; Magnoliopsida; Fabales; Fabaceae. The record is from RNAcentral.
CCUUUCUAGCCAUCCCAUUAUUAUUAUUAUCCAUUGUUUUACCCUGUUGAGCCUUUAAUCAUUUAUUGUUGAUAUACCCGUUUUUUUUUCUAAACCCAUGACCUUGGACCUAUCUUACCCUGUUCAGAGUAUGUGAGAAUUGAUUUCAUAUCUACGUUUCUAUCUAAGUUUGGGGUUGCUGUUGGUAUAACAACCUUUAAGUUUGGGGUAGCUUUGCAGUACAUGAAUAGUAUGUGAAUGUCGUAUAAAAAAAAAAAAAAAGAAAGAAAAAAAAAAUAAGAAUAAAAAGAAAGAAAUAGAAAAGCGAAGAACAGCUUUUGAAAGAUGCUACAUUCACUGGAAAUAAAAGGAAAAGAGGAUUGCAUAACCCUACAGGAAUAAUAACAAAGAAACGUAGCUUUUGAAAGAUGCUACAUUCACUGGAAAUAAAAGGAAAAGAGGAUUGCAUAACCCUACAGGAAUAAUAACAAAGAAACGUAGUAAGAGAAUGAUUGCAUGUACUCUGAACCAAAAAAAAUAAAUAAUAAUAAUAAACAUAAACCCUAGGUUCCACUUUCAUAGCCUACCUAAACCCAAGCCCCGUUACAACCCUAAAAGACCUCAAAAAGUGUGUGUGAUUGUACAUGUUGAUAGGAUGAGAGAAUUUAUUCAAACUGUUGAUUUGAUAUUGCAUAUUGUGAUUUGAGAGUGAUAA